GACGAACGCUGGCGGCGUGCUUAACACAUGCAAGUCGAACGAAGCUUGAUUACGGAUUCUUCGGAUGAAGUAUGAUAUGACUGAGUGGCGGACGGGUGAGUAACGCGUGAGUAACCUGCCCUUCAGAGGGGGGUAGCGUUUGGAAACGAACGGUAAUACCGCAUAAUGUAUUUUGACCGCAUGAUCGAAAUACCAAAGAUUUAUCGCUGAAGGAUGGACUCGCGUCUGAUUAGGUAGUUGGUGGGGUAACGGCCUACCAAGCCGACGAUCAGUAGCCGGACUGAGAGGUUGAUCGGCCACAUUGGGACUGAGACACGGCCCAGACUCCUCCGGGAGGCAGCAGUGGGGAAUAUUGCACAAUGGGCGCAAGCCUGAUGCAGCAACGCCGCGUGAAGGAAGACGGUUUUCGGAUUGUAAACUUCUGUUCUUAGUGAAGAAUAAUGACGGUAGCUAAGGAGCAAGCCACGGCUAACUACGUG
This 479-nucleotide ribosomal RNA is filed under the name uncultured bacterium. RNAcentral's name for it is "partial 16S ribosomal RNA". It matches the Rfam family "Bacterial small subunit ribosomal RNA", at positions 28 to 507 of the family's 1533-position model. The record is from RNAcentral.